GCCAGGUGUGGUGGCACACACCUGUAGUCCCAGCUACUUGGGAGGCUAAGGUGGGAGGAUCGCUUGAGCCCAGGAAGUCUAGGCUGCAGUGAGCCAUGAUUGCAUCACUGCACUCCAGCCUGGGCAACAGAGCAAGACCUUGUCUCAA
This is a non-coding RNA of Pan troglodytes (chimpanzee), 148 nucleotides long. It matches the Rfam family "Metazoan signal recognition particle RNA". Rfam says of the family: The signal recognition particle (SRP) is a universally conserved ribonucleoprotein. It is involved in the co-translational targeting of proteins to membranes. Lineage: Eukaryota; Metazoa; Chordata; Mammalia; Primates; Hominidae. The record is from Rfam.